RNAcentral lists this long non-coding RNA (299 nucleotides) under Elaeis guineensis (African oil palm). RNAcentral describes it as "long non-coding RNA (EGUI_LNC057877)". Lineage: Eukaryota; Viridiplantae; Streptophyta; Magnoliopsida; Arecales; Arecaceae. The record is from RNAcentral.
UUGUAUUCAUUUGUGGGUUUAUUGUAUUUCAAGUUUCUUUGAAAAGAAAUUUGGAUUGAUCCAAGCCUUGAGUUGGACAAAAAGGUUUUGAUUGAUUAGCCUAUUUGAAAAAUCAGGGUUGAUUGUUAGCCCGAAGAAAAAUAAUCACUUGUGAGAUUUUUAUUGGUGAUCGAGAAAAAACCAAUUGGAUUGAUUGUGAGUCCAAAAAAUAAUUUUGUAUAAUUUUAAUUGGUGAGUUAGAAAAAACCACCUAGAUUUGAUUGUUAGCCUAAAAAUUAGUAAGACUGUAAUUCUAGUUA